UUAAGUUCAGCGGGUAGUCCUACCUGAUUUGAGGUCAAAUGGUCAUAGAUUGUCCAAUGAAGGACUGUUGGAAGCCAGACUUCAUUGCAACUAUGCAGUGAAGAUAUUAUCACACCACACGUAACAUUGCAUUUCAAUCCAACUAAUACAUUUAAGAGAAGUCGAACCUCGGGCAAGGUCAACAGUCUCCAAAUCCAAUC
RNAcentral lists this unclassified non-coding RNA (200 nucleotides) under Corticium sp. (in: basidiomycete fungi). Its description in RNAcentral is "Corticium sp. (in: Fungi) partial internal transcribed spacer 2". Lineage: Eukaryota; Fungi; Basidiomycota; Agaricomycetes; Corticiales; Corticiaceae. The record is from RNAcentral.